GACGUAGGGCGCGAGCGUUGUCCGGAUUUAUUGGGCGUAAAGAGCUCGUAGGCGGCUUGUCGCGUCGACUGUGAAAACCCGCGGCUCAACUGCGGGCCUGCAGUCGAUACGGGCAGGCUAGAGUUCGGUAGGGGAGACUGGAAUUCCUGGUGUAGCGGUGAAAUGCGCAGAUAUCAGGAGGAACACCGGUGGCGAAGGCGGGUCUCUGGGCCGACACUGACACUGAGAGACGAAAGCUAGGGGAGCGAAUGGG
Molecule: ribosomal RNA, 253 nt
Filed under: uncultured bacterium
Lineage: Bacteria
Description: partial 16S ribosomal RNA
Rfam family: Bacterial small subunit ribosomal RNA
Source: RNAcentral